AAUUGGAGAGGGUACAGUCCCUCGUAACUUGUAUUUAU
Molecule: non-coding RNA, 38 nt
Filed under: Trypanosoma brucei brucei
Lineage: Eukaryota; Euglenozoa; Kinetoplastea; Trypanosomatida; Trypanosomatidae
Source: RNAcentral